CCUACGGGGAGCAGCAGUGGGGAAUAUUGGGCAAUGGGCGAAAGCCUGACCCAGCAACGCCGCGUGAAGGAAGAAGGCUUACGGGUUGUAAACUUCUUUUGACAGGGAAGAGCAGAAGACGGUACCUGUCGAAUAAGCCACGGCUAACUACGUGCCAGCAGCCGCGGUAAUACGUAGGUGGCAAGCGUUGUCCGGAUUUACUGGGGGUAAAGGGCGUGUAGCCGGGCUGACAAGUCAGAUGUGAAAUCCGGGGGCUCAACCCCCGAACUGCAUUUGAAACGGUUGGUCUUGAGUAUCGGAGAGGCAGGCGGAAUUCCUAGUGUAGCGGUGAAAUGCGUAGAUAUUAGGAAGAACACCAGUGGCGAAGGCGGCCUGCUGGACGACAACUGACGGUGAGGCGCGAAAGCGUGGGGAGCAAACAGGAUUAGAUACCCUUGUAGUC
RNAcentral lists this ribosomal RNA (442 nucleotides) under uncultured bacterium. RNAcentral's name for it is "partial 16S ribosomal RNA". It matches the Rfam family "Bacterial small subunit ribosomal RNA", at positions 338 to 795 of the family's 1533-position model. The record is from RNAcentral.